This is a non-coding RNA of Leptonychotes weddellii (Weddell seal), 1802 nucleotides long. The record is from RefSeq and is a predicted model, not a curated record. Lineage: Eukaryota; Metazoa; Chordata; Mammalia; Carnivora; Phocidae.
AGAAGAAAGGGGACUCUGUCUCGUCUGCUGGUGUAUUCCCUAGAAUUGUGUCUGCCCCAGACAGCUCAGUAGAUAGUUCCAGUUUCACAAGAGGCCUGAGGGGGAAGGAGCUAAUGCAAGUCACACAGUGAAUGAAUGAGGAAACCAAAACACAGAGAGGUUAUGCACCUUGCUCCAGCCCCGCCGCCCACCUGGUAUCUCCUGGGAGAAAGGAGGUGGCUCAGGUUGUCCCUGGGCCUCCACCCCUACACAGGACCUCUUCCCCUUCAUCCCUGUGGAUUUUUUUCUCCGUCGGGGCCCGUGGUUCUUGGUCACGAAGCUUUGAAGAAUGAAGAGGUAGACCGGACAGAGGGGUAGGCAGCGAAGCAAGGUGUAUGGGGCGAUAGCAAAGUGAUAACACAAAGGUCCCAAGGAGGGAGGGGACCCGAGGGGGCUGUCACGGAGUUUCUAUGUCUAGGGGAUUUUAUGGGCUUGUUGGCUGGCUGUUUUCAUCUGAUGAACCCUCCCUGUGCCUGUCACCCAAUCAGGUUUUUGUCACCUAUCUAUCACAUGGGAAAGGGUGGAGGGCUCCUUCCAGGGCGGUGUAAAAUCCUUUUAAGGGUGUUUCCCUCUUAGGGUGGGGGUGUCCCUGCCUGCCUGCCUUCCAAGUAUCCUUCAUCAGUAGUUUCACUGCCUUAAAAAUCCUCUGAGCUCUGCCUGUUCAUCUCAUCUUCCUCCCUACCCCCUGGGAGCCACUUGUUUACUUUUAAAAAAUCCACUCCUACCCCAACUUCUAGAGAUAACCCUGACAGCCACGGAUCCCUGGGCCUGAGUGGGGAGGCCCGUAAUGUGGGCUGGGCGCCUCUUAGCUGUCCUCGUCGUUGCUGGCUCAGGACUCAGAUUCUUUUGCCAUCCUUUCUCCAACCUCCAAAACUUGCUGUUCUCUUCUGCCUUGUUCUAUUUGUUUCUAAAAGUCCACACCUUUUAAAAAAAGAAAAAAAGUCCCUCUACUAUAGUUUAGCAGGGCUUUGGGUGGGCUCGAAGGGAAAUGCUUGAGCUCCAUCUGCCACCUUUAAUUACAAGUCGCUCCCACUGGAUUUUCGGUUGUUACCUCAAAUUCAACCCAACCCCCACCAAUCCCUCACCUUCCACCCGGAUAAACUCCUCGUUCAUCUCUCCUGACUUCCGCCCGUGCUUCUGCGACUCUCUCCUACCCAAGGGGGAAGCCCCAGGGACCCCUUUGCACUUUUGUCUCCUGCCACCUGUCUGCAGAGCAUCUCACCUUCUUCCUACUUCCUGCCUGGCGGCCUUCCCCUUUCCUUCCCUCCCUCUUCCCGGCCACCACCCUGAUCUGCCUUCUCACACCCAGGCCUGAAUAAAACAAGCAAAACCAAACAAAAGAAUCUGCCAUGGUCUUGCCACUCCCUGCUCAAACUUAUUUUGUCUAGAAUAAAAAGUCCAAAUUUCUGAGUUGGGCAGGUAAGUUUCCACAAUCGGACUCCAAUCUGGCCUCUCCGGGCCUAAUUCUCCCGCCACUUGCCGGCGUGGUCACUCGGAACACACUGACCCCCUCCUUGGACUCUCCUCGCUCUGGCCUGUGUGCCUCUCAAGCCGCAGCUGAAAUGGCAGCCUCCGUGUGACGCACAGCUCCCCGCUACCCCAGGGAAGUCGUGUAUGCCCUUCCUGGGUUCCCAAACUCCAAAAGAGUGUUGUAUCUGCUUACGGAUCUGCCUCUCUUUGGGUUUUUUGAGGGGAGGGACUGUGUCUUGGUCAUCUUGUGCUUCCAGGGCCUAGCUUGGUGCCUUGUGUGUAGUAAGUUCUCA